GAGCAAAUAUUUCAACGAUUUGUACUGUUAAAAACUGGCGUGACUGAUAGAAUAACUAGAUAGAGGCACAACACUAUGCCAUAUGUACCUUAUGCUAAUGUAUAGAGACUAGUUUUUAACAAUACAAAUGGAUAAAAUUUUUAGCUA
Non-coding RNA from Gossypium raimondii (Peruvian cotton), 147 nucleotides. The record is from Rfam. NCBI's taxonomy places the organism in Eukaryota, Viridiplantae, Streptophyta, Magnoliopsida, Malvales, Malvaceae.